GACGACGCUGGCGGCGUGCUUAACACAUGCCAGUCGCACGAUGAAGCGGGUGCUUGCACUCGUGGAUUAGUGGCGAACGGGCGAGUAACACGUGAGUAACCUGUCCUUUUCUUUGGGAUAACGGCUGGAAACGGCUGCUAAUACUGGAUAUUCAGGCUGCAUCGCAUGGUGUGGUUUGGAAAGGUUUUUUCUGGGAUUGGGUGGGCUCGCGGCCUAUCAGCUUGUUGGUGGGGUGAUGGCUUACCAAGGCUUUGACGGGUAGCCGGCCUGAGAGGGUGGUCGGUCGCACUGGGACUGAGAUACGGCCCAGACUCCUACGGGAGGCAGCAGUGGGGAAUAUUGCACAAUGGACGAAAGUUUGAUGCAGCGACGCGGCGUGGAGGGUGUAGGCCUUCGGGUUGUGAACUCCUUUUUCUCGCGAAAAAGGCACAGUUUUGGCUGUGUUGAUGGUAGUGGGGGAAGAAGCGCCGGCUAACUACGUG
This 482-nucleotide ribosomal RNA is filed under the name uncultured bacterium. RNAcentral's name for it is "partial 16S ribosomal RNA". It matches the Rfam family "Bacterial small subunit ribosomal RNA", at positions 33 to 507 of the family's 1533-position model. The record is from RNAcentral.